Long non-coding RNA from Cannabis sativa, 1295 nucleotides. RefSeq lists it as uncharacterized. The transcript has 2 exons. Lineage: Eukaryota; Viridiplantae; Streptophyta; Magnoliopsida; Rosales; Cannabaceae. The record is from RefSeq and is a predicted model, not a curated record.
GAGAUAAGUUGAUUUUAGAAAUACCAAAGUAUUUUGGAAUACUAGAGUUAACCAAAUACCCUAAAAUUAAAGAUUUCUUAGUGGUUGAAAAAAAUAGUAAAAUAAUUAUUAUUAAUAAAAUUUUUAUUUAUAAUAUUAAUAUUAUAAUUAAUAUAUAUUAUUAUUAUUUUAUUAUUAUAUAUAAAUACAACUGACAGUUAAGUUUUUUUAUAUAUAUAUAUUAUAUGUAGAAUAUUUGCAGCAUAACUUCUUUAAGUGGUUAGGUUUUUGCAAUUAAGCCCCAAUUUUAAAAUUUUGGUAGUAAAACUUCAUAAAUCCAAGUUUUGUUAGCACUUAGCCAUUUCCAUCCAUUUUUGGGUGUUAAGUAUCAGGUUGGAAUGUCUACAUGUACACAAUGUACACGUGACACAAUUUAAUUAGUCCACAUAAUAAAUAUUUAAAAUUAAUUAUUUUAAAAAUAAAAAAAAAUUAAUUUUUCUUUAAAAAUUAAAAAAAACAAUUUUAAUAAAAUAAUUUUUUUUAGAAAAAAAACCCUAACUCCCUCCUCCUCCUCCUUCUUCUUCUUCUUCUUUUAUCUUUUUCUCUGCUAAAAAAAUCAUAAUCUAAACCUAAAACACAUUUCUUUCACCCUCUCUCUCUUACCAGACCCCAACCCCGAAACUCCGACCGCUCCUCUCCAGACCAGGUACCCCGCCACUGACCGCCUGCUCCUUUCGCACAGCCACCACAACCUGAUUCCUCUCUCUCUCUCUCUCUCUCUCUCUCUCUCUCUCUCUCUUGCGUUUAGCCUCAAGAAACUCCUGUAAUAGAAACCCUCCUUCAAUUCCUCGACCCACGACCGAGAUCGAGUUGUCUGCUCUUCUUCUGUGGAGAGGGAGGGCAUUUUCAGAUUUGCCCCAAGUUUUCCGGCAAGAGAAGGAGCGGUGGAGGUGUUGCGAGAGAAGGCUUCAGAUAUGGGGUUGGAUGAAUGUGAAGUGUUUUCAGAUCUAGGGUUCUCAAAUUUGGUUUGAUUUUUUUGUUUGUUUGUUUUUGUGUAUGUGUGAUUUAGGUAUAAAAAAUAGGGUACGGUAGUGGCGUUGGUGAGCAGUGGUGGUUGUAGAUGGUAGGUAGUGGUGGUUUCGGUGGAUGUCGAUGGUAUGAAGAAGAUGAAGAAGAAGAAAAAUAGAAAAUAAUGAAGAAAAAAAAGGAUUUGUUGGAUUGAAAAAAAAAUGUUUUACUUUUAAUUUUUAAAUUAUUUUUCUGUUAAAACAAAUUAAAUUAUUUUUCUUUAUUUUAAAUUUUAUUUUAAUUAUAAA